AUGCCGGCGUAUGUGGAGGGGGAUGUCUACCUGGUGGUGGAGCACCCCUUCGAGUAUACCCGCAAGGACUGGCGCCGCGUGGCCAUCUGGCCCAAUGAGCGCUACUGGCUGCUGCGGCGCAGCACGGAGCACUGGUGGCACGUGCGGCGCGAGCCUGGCGGCCACCCCUUCUACCUGCCCGCGCAGUACGUGCGCGAGCUGCCUGCGCUGGGCAAAUGACCUCCCCGCGAACGGGAACGCCCGGACGAGACAACCUGCCACUGCCGCGCCGCCAGGUCCCCCCAACAGUCCCCUCGGCCCCCGAGCCGCUCACCUACGACUACCGGCUUGUGAGCGCGGCGGCGGCAGCGGGCCCCGACAGCACCCCCGCGGAGCCCCGAGGCCGCGCCAGCUCCCUGUGCGGCCCUUCGCAACGCGGCGCCGCGACCCAGCGCAGCAGCCUGGCGCCCGGCCUGCCCGCCUGCCUGUACUUGCGGCCUGCGCAGUCCCUGGACUACCUGGCGCGCGCCGCCGUCUCGCCUCCCGCCGGCCACCUCGGAAGGAGCGGCAGCUUCAAGGCUGCAGUGUGGCGGGUUCCUGGAUGUGCCCGCGGCCCCUGGCGCGCAGCGACUCAGAGACCGUCUACGAGGCCAUCCAGGAUGUGCACGGCCCGCCGCGGGAGGAGAGCGGGGAACAG
RNAcentral lists this long non-coding RNA (676 nucleotides) under Homo sapiens (human). RNAcentral describes it as "non-protein coding lnc-AMZ2-7:2". Lineage: Eukaryota; Metazoa; Chordata; Mammalia; Primates; Hominidae. The record is from RNAcentral.